AGCGAACGCUGGCGGCAGGCCUAACACAUGCAAGUCGAACGAACUCUUCGGAGUUAGUGGCGGACGGGUGAGUAACACGUGGGAACGUGCCUUUUGGUUCGGAAUAACUCAGGGAAACUUGUGCUAAUACCGAAUGUGCCCUUCGGGGGAAAGAUUUAUCGCCAUUAGAGCGGCCCGCGUCUGAUUAGCUAGUUGGUGAGGUAACGGCUCACCAAGGCGACGAUCAGUAGCUGGUCUGAGAGGAUGACCAGCCACACUGGGACUGAGACACGGCCCAGACAAUGACGGGGGGAGGGGGGGUGGGACAGGGCGCAGGGCGGUAAAGUCUGCAGGAGCCAUGCGGGGUGAAUGAGGAAGCUCUGAGUUUUGUAAUCUUUUUGCGAGGGGGAGGAUAACCGCGGUACCGGGAGAAGACCCCGCGACUAACUUCGCGCCAGCAGCGGCGGUAAUAAUCGGAACGGCCCCCCUCUGAAC
Molecule: ribosomal RNA, 474 nt
Filed under: uncultured bacterium
Lineage: Bacteria
Description: partial 16S ribosomal RNA
Rfam family: Bacterial small subunit ribosomal RNA
Source: RNAcentral